CAAAUUAGAGCUUGACAAUAAGCAUUUCAUUUACAUUGAAAAGAUAUUAAUUAUAUAAUUAGUUUGA
This 67-nucleotide transfer RNA is filed under the name Euhampsonia serratifera. RNAcentral describes it as "tRNA-Val". The record is from RNAcentral. Lineage: Eukaryota; Metazoa; Arthropoda; Insecta; Lepidoptera; Notodontidae.